Molecule: non-coding RNA, 372 nt
Organism: Zootermopsis nevadensis
Lineage: Eukaryota; Metazoa; Arthropoda; Insecta; Blattodea; Termopsidae
Source: RefSeq, a predicted model, not a curated record
ACUUCAAUAGCGAUCGUAUAUCCUUUCCUAGACUCGAAAGUGAAGGAACACAUUCACUUCCAUAAUCGAGACUGGCAUUCGCUUCAUAAACACAUCAACCCUGAAAUCUUGCCUGAAGAAUAUGGGGGCCAUAUUCCUAGACUGGAUUACACUGAACUACGGAAGAUUCUUUACGAAAAUUCAGAAAAACUUGUGGAACAAUUUUCUAUGGGAUACGUAAACACAUGAAGAAGGGAACGAGGCUAAUGCAAUGCGUUCCUGUUUCCACGUCUCUUUACUCCAAAGAUUUAUACGCAAACAGAAGUCACAAAUUUAAUGUAUAUACACACAAACAUAUAAACUGCAUAUAAAACAGAAUUUAUCCUCAAAAAA